This 221-nucleotide non-coding RNA is filed under the name Pseudomonas citronellolis. Its description in RNAcentral is "Nitrogen regulated small RNA". It matches the Rfam family "Nitrogen regulated small RNA". Rfam says of the family: Its transcription is induced during nitrogen limitation by the NtrB/C two-component system (an important regulator of nitrogen assimilation and swarming motility) together with the alternative sigma factor RpoN (a global regulator involved in nitrogen metabolism). By activating rhlA (a gene essential for rhamnolipids synthesis) it positively regulates the production of rhamnolipid surfactants needed for swarming motility. Lineage: Bacteria; Pseudomonadati; Pseudomonadota; Gammaproteobacteria; Pseudomonadales; Pseudomonadaceae. The record is from RNAcentral.
AACGAUUUCGGGGGCCUCGGUACAGGCAGGCUGGGGAAACCCCACUUUUACACAAGGCGCGCCGCCGCGGCCCGAUGCGGUGGAAGGCGUGAACGGUUCGGGGGUCCUGGUACAGGCAGGCCGGGGAAACCCCCUUUUUACACCGGAGGUUCGCGAUGCGGCCUCCGUCCCUUUCGGGGCCCUCGGUUCAGGCAGGCCGGGGAAUCCCCUUCUUUCUUCCC